AAAUUGAAGAGUUUGAUCAUGGCUCAGAUUGAACGCUGGCGGCAGGCCUAACACAUGCAAGUCGAACGGUAGCACAGAGAGCUUGCUCUCGGGUGACGAGUGGCGGACGGGUGAGUAAUGUCUGGGAAACUGCCUGAUGGAGGGGGAUAACUACUGGAAACGGUGGCUAAUACCGCAUAACGUCGCAAGACCAAAGAGGGGGACCUUCGGGCCUCUUGCCAUCAGAUGUGCCCAGAUGGGAUUAGCUAGUUGGUGAGGUAACGGCUCACCAAGGCGACGAUCCCUAGCUGGUCUGAGAGGAUGACCAGCCACACUGGAACUGAGACACGGUCCAGACUCCUACGGGAGGCAGCAGUGGGGAAUAUUGCACAAUGGGCGCAAGCCUGAUGCAGCCAUGCCGCGUGUAUGAAGAAGGCCUUCGGGUUGUAAAGUACUUUCAGCGGGGAGGAAGGUGUUGUGG
Molecule: ribosomal RNA, 460 nt
Filed under: Salmonella enterica
Lineage: Bacteria; Pseudomonadati; Pseudomonadota; Gammaproteobacteria; Enterobacterales; Enterobacteriaceae
Description: bacterial SSU rRNA
Rfam family: Bacterial small subunit ribosomal RNA
Source: RNAcentral